CCUACGGGAGGCUGCAGUGGGGAAUAUUGGACAAUGGGCGAAAGCCUGAUCCAGCCAUGCCGCGUGUGUGAAGAAGGCCUUCGGGUUGUAAAGCACUUUCAGUGGGGAAGAAAGCCUUGGGGCUAAUACCCUCGAGGAAGGACAUCACCCACAGAAGAAGCACCGGCUAACUCCGUGCCAGCAGCCGCGGUAAUACGGAGGGUGCGAGCGUUAAUCGGAAUUACUGGGCGUAAAGCGCGCGUAGGCGGUCUGAUAAGCCGGUUGUGAAAGCCCCGGGCUCAACCUGGGAACGGCAUCCGGAACUGUCAGGCUAGAGUGCAGGAGAGGAAGGUAGAAUUCCCGGUGUAGCGGUGAAAUGCGUAGAGAUCGGGAGGAAUACCAGUGGCGAAGGCGGCCUUCUGGACUGACACUGACGCUGAGGUGCGAAAGCGUGGGUAGCAAACAGGAUUAUAUACCCCAGUAGUC
This 465-nucleotide ribosomal RNA is filed under the name Vreelandella stevensii. Its description in RNAcentral is "partial 16S ribosomal RNA". It matches the Rfam family "Bacterial small subunit ribosomal RNA", at positions 338 to 795 of the family's 1533-position model. Lineage: Bacteria; Pseudomonadati; Pseudomonadota; Gammaproteobacteria; Oceanospirillales; Halomonadaceae. The record is from RNAcentral.